GCCGGUAGAUUCUUGUCUUCCAUCGAAACCCAAACCCUUCCAUCGAGGUGAACCUGGCGGCGUCGGGUCGGUUCUCUGGCUAUGACGUCUUCGAUCUGCGGGCCGUGCACCAGGUCGCCCUAGCCGUGCCGCUUCCGGCCCAGAUGGAUUACGCCCGUGGUGACGAUGGAGGUAGCAGCGAGUUGAUUGCUGCUGCUGAUGCGCAGGUCUUGCAGCAGUACCACUAGCCGUGGCCAUGGGAUGGAAACACAAGUGCCGUCCUGCCCCAGGCAGGUAGUAAUCAGCUGAACACUGUUGUUCCAGGGAGACGUCUGCAUCUUUGAUUGUGUCACCUGAAAAGGUGACAAUUCUACUAAAUAGGUUCAGGUCGUGCUCUUGUUGCUUGAGGACCGGGAGAUGAACGCUGAAUUGAGUCCUUUUCCAUCAUCUUCUAUGCAGAACAUGAUGCACAUCCAAGCAAACCACAUCUCUGGUGAUCAACCAGCUAAGGGGAAACCACAUAAUUCAGUCUGGUGCACAGCUUAUGUUGCUUUGGCGGCUGCUUCCGCAAAGACACACUAUUGUUUUUUGGCUUUUACAUUCAAACUAUGUGUUCUUUCAGGAUGAAAUAUUGAUGCAUGUUACUCUGACCUGCAGGGAAUACUCUCAGGGACAGCCGAAAAUUUUCAUUCCAGCUACGCCAGAUGCCUAGUUGGAACCAAAUGAAGCAGAACAACACUGCUGAAGUUGGAAUUGCCAAAACCCAUAGUAUCACUGUCAAUGGUCACAAUUCAUCGUGAGAGACUGCCUACUGGAAUAGGGAUGAAGUGAUGCAUCAUCACUUGUGAACUCUGCCCAUUAUACUUUGCCAGGGAAGCUUCGAUGAACUGCUUUAUGACAUUUAGCCAGUGAGAGUACUCUCAAGAGCUUUUAGAGUGGGCUGGCAAACUUGCAGAGUCCAACCAAGUUAUUACAUUAAUUGCUUGUCAUGUUAUAGAGUUGCUGAAGUAGUUCAUAUAUAUAAUCAUGUUUAUUAUUAUUAUUAUCCAGUCACAGUUUAUUUGUCAUGGCAGCAAAGUUUGAUAAAUCAUACCAAUUGACUUUUUUUUUUGU
Molecule: long non-coding RNA, 1092 nt
Organism: Musa acuminata AAA Group (dessert banana)
Lineage: Eukaryota; Viridiplantae; Streptophyta; Magnoliopsida; Zingiberales; Musaceae
Exons: 5
Source: RefSeq, a predicted model, not a curated record